CCUAACGGCGUGCCUCGGC
RNAcentral lists this non-coding RNA (19 nucleotides) under Arabidopsis thaliana (thale cress). Lineage: Eukaryota; Viridiplantae; Streptophyta; Magnoliopsida; Brassicales; Brassicaceae. The record is from RNAcentral.